Long non-coding RNA from Rhagoletis zephyria (snowberry fruit fly), 220 nucleotides. RefSeq lists it as uncharacterized. Lineage: Eukaryota; Metazoa; Arthropoda; Insecta; Diptera; Tephritidae. The record is from RefSeq and is a predicted model, not a curated record.
GAUCAGGCGGCUCUUGGAGUUUUCGAGAGAAAUAUUCUACAAAAGAUUUACGGGCCUUUACGUGUUGGCUAUGACGAACACCCCAGACGAUCUAACGAUGAGCUAUAUGUGCUUUACAACGAUAUAGUCAGUGCAGCCAAUUAAAAUUCGGCGGCUCCACUGGCUUGGCCAUGUCGUUCAAAUGAACAGAAGGCCUCCUGUUCUGAAGGUGUUCAAAGGG